CUUCUUUCAAGAUAUCAAUAUCUCCACAGGUUAGGCUGUUCAUCAUGGUGCUGUGUUUUUUUCUGUUCCCCGGAGUUUGGUCAUGUUCUUAUGGUAUGCUCCUUGAGUUGUGCUGUUUUGGAUUCUUAGCUCGAUCAGUUUUGUGUCCAGUGGGAAAAGGAGGUGAACAGGGAGCUGUGAGCUAUAUCAAGAUAUCUAUAUAUGGUUUGUUGUGUAUGCUCAAUCUCCCUAAAUUAUUAUUUUAUCUGCUAAAGUUUGCCAUGGAAAUCGACUCCAACAUGGCAUCAUAAUUGAUAGCAGCCAGCAAAACUUUGACCUCUAACACGUUUAUUUUCUAACAACAUCGAUAGUUUUGUCAUUAAGUUUCAAUCUUUUUUAUUUGGUUAAGGUGUCAUCGUGAUUGCCUUAUAAUUAUGUUCCCUGUGUUCUUUUUCCCCCUGGCAGCUGAGGAGUGAUCAGAGUGAAUUUUGGGCUUUUGAGUGAGAAUUCUAUGUUUUUUUUUUUUGUUGAAUUUAGGAUUUUCAAGAGCCAAGAGUUUACUUGACUGAGAUCGCAGACUUGCUGAUUAUGGCAUGGACUAUUCUGGACAGAAAUAGCAGACCAUGCCUUCAGGCUAUAUAUUCUGUGCUUCUUCUUCUUUUUUCCAACAGAAAAGAUAGCAAACAAGAUCUGUGGCCGCUGUUGCACCGUGGCAUCCAUUCCUUUUCUUUCUGAGAUUCAUGUUGACAGAUUGUACAAUCAAACACAAAAUGCUUUAUUCAGUUUCUCGAUCACAGCCAAGAUUAAAUUCUGCUUUGUGUCCGGUCCAUUAAUCUGUCCACUAUGUUCAUCCCUUUAAAAAAUAUAAGUAAUUUUUUUUAUAUGUGAAAAGACCUCUUUGGCUUAAAUAUCAAAAUAAAAAAGGAUGAAAAAUACAGGGGUAAUCCUAUAAAAAAAAUCUUAGCUUAGCUUCAUAUAAAUUAUUGGCCAGUGAAUCUUAGCUUAGCUUCAUAUGAUAUGAGUUAAGUUUUUAAAAAAUUUAACCUUUCAAUAAAAAAAUUAUUCCUGUUUUUUUAAAAAAAUUUAGUUUUGUCACUGACUCUUUUAUAAAAAUUUUAUUUUUUUAAUUUAGUCCUUCAAUUAAUUACAAUUUGAUUUUUAUUUUUUUUUAACUUUUAAUUUGUUUUUAUUUUUUGGAUCUUUUAUAAAAGUUCUAUUAAUUUUUAAUUUUAUCACUCAAUUCAAUAUAUUAAAAAAAUAAUUUUACCAGUAAAUAACUAGUAUCAUUAAUAAUAAUAAAAAAAAAACCGUUUGAGCAUUCAGGCUCGCCUAAGAUUCAGUCCAGGUUUCCCAAUAAGAUUAUUUAUAAUACGGCCGGUGAGAUGAUCGUUCUGUAAAAACCUGAAAAAUAAAGGACUGUGAAGCAAGUAGAUAACAGGACAGGGCUUCAAACGCCCUGUGGGAGAUGGGGGCAAAAGGGGCAAGAGACAGCAAGAAGGGAAGUCGGCAAAACAGUACUUGUGUGAUGGUGGCCUUUCCAAUUUUCCUUCUAUUUCCAAAAGCCCUAUGGGAAAUGCGUCAGCGAAGAGGGUUUUGAGUUAUGAAAUAUGCCAGCUUCUCCCCCCCUCCUGCACAACAGUACUUGUGUGAUGUGUCCAAUUUCCGCGUGAUGUGCUAUGAAAUGCGUCAGCGAAGGGAGGCUACUCCUUAGUUUUGAGUUAUGAAAUGCGUCAGCGAAGGGAGGCUACUCCUUAGUUUUGAGUUAUGCGUCAGCGAAGGGAUUUUGAGUUAUGCGUCAGCGAAGGGAGGCUACUCCUUAGUUUUGAGUUAUGAAAUGCGUCAGCGAAGGGAUUUUGAGUUAUGCGUCAGCGAAGGGAUUUUGAGUUAUGAAAUGCGUCAGCGAAGGGAUUUUUUCCCACUAUUUAAGAGCGCAGAUGCGAUCUCUUAUACAUACUUACAUCUCCUUGUUACUCACAACAUUAAGCAUCCAUUCUUGCUCUGCUAACUCGUCUCCUCAAAUUUGGUAAUAUUAUCAAUGCGAUCUCUUUCUAAUCUCACUUGAGAAAUUACUGCUUUUAUUUUCUUCUAAUUAACCAUUCCUUUUUGUAGUUAAUUUUAAGUCAUGGAUGGUUACAUCUUACACCCCCCUUCACAAGACUCGAUCACAUCAGGCUACUCCUCAGCUGCUAAAGGAGGGCUCGCUGGUGUCCUCGUCUUGCUCCUUGCUAUCGUAGUUUAUAUAUUCUUCAAGCGCCAAAACUGCCUCGAGGAGGGCGACCCCGAAAAGGUUCAGGUGAUCAAUAUGGUUCAAAUUAGAGAAAUAAGGAGGUACCUUACCAUGUAAUAAGAAGUUGAAGCUAAUUAAGAUUCAUACAAAUGAGAUUUUCCUAAUCUUCCCAUAUUGUUUUUGUAUUAAUUGCAGGAAUCCAUGAAGUACCCGGAUGCCUCGACUGUUCCUUCUUAGUUAUAUCAACUGUAUUGUUGCAGAAUCGAACCGUUUUAAUUUGUACUUUAUAUAUAAAUAAAUGAUUGUGUGAAUUUCGUGUUGGACUUAAACUUAAUAUUGAAUUGUGUUGCUGCCACUUUAUUUUAAAAUCGUCAUAGCAGAUAAUGAAUUGUGGGCUUUUUCUUUAUUUUUUAUAUUUUUUUAACUUUAAUUCGAGUGGGGUUUUACUAUUACCAAUUUACUGUGUUGCUGCUACUCUUUUUUUUUGGGUUUUAACCACGUGUAAUUUCUUAAUUGCUGGGGCUUGCUUUAGGAGCUUUCUUUUUAUAGUCUCUUGGUCGUCCAUAAAACAAACACUCACCGCAACAGUCACAGCCAAACUCUUUGUUAAACCGAUGGUGUUUCGGUGCGUUGAGCGCCGGAUCGGUGCCAACUCAUCUCCUCUGCGCGUUGAUGAGGGCGGUUUUUCUCGCCGCCAUCCAACGAGGGAUGUCCAGUCUUUUUGCCUUCCGUUGCUUUCCCUUUUGUCUUUGCGCGACUUUCGCCGUUGGUGGAGUUACUAGUGGCGUGGACCUGGACGGUUGAGUUGGCUUCUGUGAUCGCUUGAGUCUGUCGGAGUUGUCGCUUUUCGUGUUCUUUUAUUUUUUCCCGAUCCUGGUAGCUGGAUCGUUUCAUUGUUAACGGCUAUGCCGUGGUUUGGUGGUUAUGUUGGUAGCUGGUUCAAUGGCUAUGUUGGUGUUGGGCGUGCCAUGGCAGAAUUGCGCUGGGCAGUUGGGGUUUGUUUUUUAGAGGGAGAUGAGAAUUGCCAGGGGAGAUGGGUUGCGGUGGUGGUCCGUGGGUUUUGGCUUUGUUGAUUGGGAAGACGUGAUUUUCAUAAAGGCCAUAAUAUUUGAUUUUCAUAUAAAAAUAAGUAGGGAUUGAAAAUCAAUUUCUCAGGAAAACUAAAAAAAAAAAAUGCAAAAAUUAGGAUUGUAGUUGAGGUGAUUUUUAAAAUACUUUCUCAUUUUAAAUGAAAACAGUGAGAUUGGGCAGUUGAAUAUAUAUAUAUAUAUAUAUAUAUGAAAACAGUGAGAUUGGGCAGUCCAAUAUAUAUUCGUGCUAUCCAAACCCGAAGCAUGCCAGUUAGCUGGAGUUUUGGGAGUUUGUGUCCCCUGUCUUCGUGCCUUUAUUUUCCCUUUUUUUUUUCAUUUUAUUUAUACGGGUGUUCGGGCCAGCUUACGUGCACCACGACUAAUCCUACAGCCCACUGAACAUCUUGUAAAUCAGUGAACAUAUAAGGCACCGCGAAAAUAAUAUAUAUACACAGUAAAAUUUGAACCCAGUAUAAAAAAAAAACAAGCUCCUUUUAUCGAUAUGCCAAGAACUCAAGUGCUAUUUCCCCUUCCUUUUUUGUUUGAGAGAGAGAGGCUAGUGGAUAGGAUCAUGGGAAUUGGGAUCAUAGGAAAAAGGUUUGUUUAAUGCCUAAAGUGAGAGAUGCUGCAUGGUGCAGCAGCAGGUAGAACCUGCUUUUAUUUUUUAGCGUUUCAAUGAAUUUUGGUGGGAUCCAUGAAUAAUAUUUUGUUUUUUUUUUGUUAUUAAACGUUGUUGCAUCUGUGUUUUGACGCAACAACGUAGACAAACACAUUCUAUAUAUGAAAGAACAAGCUCCCGAUAUACGUCAAGCUCCCGAUUUCUGUCAGAUUCCCCUUAACGAAGCCACUUUAAGACAAUCAUGUUCCAACGAAAUCACGUUGUUGUAUCCCUGCAAAAUUUCUCUUUCUAGUCACACAAUCACUAAUAUGCCUAUCAUGAUUCUCAAUAGGCCAACAAAGAGUCAAAACCUUAUAGGCAUAUUUGUCAAGAUAGAGAGUGGACAUCCACUCAAUCUUUCCAUGCUAUUAGAAAAGGCAUCCGUACAAUUCCGAGACCUCAUUUAAGGAUUUCAAUUUGGAAAAAGAAUUGAUAGCAUGGAAAGAUUGAGGGGUCCACUCUCUAUCUUCAUUUGCUUUCUUUCUUUACUGGCACCGUCCGUGUCAUCGCCGACACAUGGAAAGAGAUAAUCUCUCUCUAAUUCUUAAUUUAUUACUAUAUGCAACUCUAUUUUGUUUAUAGGCUGGUCAAUUCUAAAAUACAGAUAAAAAUAAUAAUAAAAAAGCUCUUUGUUUGUUUAUUAUGCAUUUCAAAUAAAAUAAAAACAGUUCAGAAGAAACUGUUGAGAUUUUGUCCCUACUUUCUUUUUCUAUUUUCUUUUUUUAGCAUGGAGACUAAAUCUACCUCUUCAUGAUAAAAUGCAUUUCUCUUAAUUUAGACUGAAUUCUGAUUGAUGGUUAAGGAAAGAACACGUCAUUUUAACCAUUUAUUCAUCCCUCCUAAUGUUAUGCCUUUUUAAUUUAGCUUAUCCUUAUCGUACCGUGUUUUAGACCUAGUUUGGGGUUAAGUUAUCAAGUUAUUUUUUGCAUUUAAAACAUCAAAAUUAUUUGAUAACUCAACGAGUUUAAAUUUGUUUAAACUUAGGUUACUAACAUCUAAUUUUAAAAUUCAAAAUCAUCUUAUCCAAGACAUGCAUAAGAAAACCGAAACACAUCAUUUUAAUAAAAAUAAUUAACAUAAAUUGAUGUUUUUGCAAGAUAAAGGCAUGGAUACUUGUUAUAAAUAGACAAUAAAUUCAAGUAUUAAGAGUUAAAAAACAUCACAGGAGAAGAAGAAAGAGUAAAAGAGGUUAAAUUUUUGUUUAAAUUAAAGUUUUUUUUAAUUUUUUUUUAUAUUACAUUAUUUCCGUACCCUUUAUUUAUUGUUUUCUUUCUUCUCUUCUGGUUCGGCCUAUCGUGUCUUAUUCUUUGAAUCUUGAAGUGUCUUACAAAGAAGAUCCUUUAAUUAUAACAGCUUUUGGCGCUCGUCUUUUUUUGGUUCCAUUAAGAUUAAUAAGAGGAUAAGAUUGCGUGAGCGCAAGGCUUUUAAUAUACAUAUUAAAAAAUAUACUGGUCAGGUAAAAUUGCAAAGUCGUGAUUUUUAAUAUUUUAAUUGUAUUAGAUACAAUUUAUUUGUUUUUAAUUUAAUUAUUUGGUAUUUUAUUUUUAAUUGUUUUAUCAUCUUUAUUUUUAAUUUUUUUUUCUAAUUGAAUUUUAUUUUUUAAUUCAAUCCAUAAUCAUUUAAUUUUAAUUUUUAUAAUUAUAAUUUAAUUUUUAUUUUGAGUUGUCUUAUUAAUUAAUUGUUUUUUUAGUAACACCAAGCCUGAUAGUCGACACUCAUUAAUUAUGUCCCGAGGACGUCAACAUAAUUGCAUGUGAAGCUUUUGACAAAUUCCUCUCUCUAUUUUUCCUGCUCCCCACUAGGGUCAGAUGAAAAAGCAACGCAGGAAACCAACAGGACAUAGAAUGAUGCACAAAAAUUAUUGAAGUAAUCAAGACUGGCUAACAAGAACAUCCUUGUAAGGAGUUGGUGCAGGAAUAGGCGCUGCUCUUGUUUCUCCGGCUAUCCUUUACCCCCUCCUCUCCUCUGCUAGGAUUAGCGGCGCCUGGCCCUCCCUCUCUCGUCUCAAACGCACUGCCACCCCACAUCCAGAUUAAUGUGGAUGCAGCCGUGGUCUUCAUCAUCAGCUUUUUUUACAGCUACUGCUAUGGAAAUGAAUCAAACCACUUAAUUUUUGUGACAGGGAUCAAGUAGUUUACUUUGGAUCCAGGCAACCUCUUGGUUUUUCUGUGUAUGAGACAUGUAAUUACUUUAAAGGAUCUGAAGCAACUCAUAAAACUGAUUUGUUGCUUCGCUUUCCAACCUUGCUCAUGUUCUAUGAAAUAAAAAAAGCUUUUUGAUUUUGCUGCGUUCUUAGUUAAACAUGGAAUUCAAACCCUAACCCGCAGUGGAGCGCCGGCAGAAAAUCCAGUUACAUGCUGCAUACUUGACCAAUGGGGGGGGACAACCUUAUAAUCGGGUUGGUAGGGUAAGAAUAACAUUCAUUAUCGGGUUGAACUGAUUGAUUUGGUUUUGACGACUUAUAAUCGUUGUUGAAGAAAUUAACUAGCAUGACUUAAAAAACUUCAAUUAAAAUGGUCUGGUCUCGAAUGAGAAAACAGACCAAAUAUUUAACUGCAACAAUACAGUAGUAGAUAUAACUAAAAACCAACUGUCGAGGCGCCCGAGUACUUCAUGGAUUGCUGCCUUGACGAAGAAGAAGACCUGCAAUUAAUUCGAAAACAUUAUUGGAAUAUUAGAAGAAUCUCAUUUGUAUGAAUAUUAAUCGGGUUCAGCUUCUUAUUACAUGGUAUGGUACCUACUUGUUUCCCAGCAUGGACGCUCCUUUCUUGCAUUUCAACAUCACUCACCCCAACAACCUUCACUUGGCAGUUUCGGCGCUGGAAGAAUACAUAAACGACGAUAGUAAGGAGCGUGAUGACGACACCAGCAACUCCUCCUUUAGCAGCUGAGGAGUAGCCUCCGGUGGCCGAGUCUGGUGCAGGGUGUAACCAUCCAUGACUCAAAACUACAAAAUGGAAUGAUUAAUUAGAGGGGGGAAAAUCAGUAAUGUCUCAAGUGAGAUUAGAAAGAGAUCGCAUUGAUAACAUUACCAAAUUUGAGGAGGGAAAUAGCUUUGAUUUAUGCCUCACACACACACACACUUACUUUGAAGCGACGGUUGGAAGUAUCAAGGCCACUCUCGCUAGAAUGAAUAUCUGCCAUUGCAUAUCAUUGGUCCGUUUACUUUGAAAAAAUAAGAAAGGGAGGAGCACCUCUAAAUUCAUCAUCCAUAAGCAUGGCUUCCAAUGCUUCGAUUUCCAUGUCCUGCUCCUUUCCAUAGUCUGCCAAUUCAUCUCAUUCAACCAGUCAGUUAUUAAAACAUACAUAUUAGAAUGCCCCAUCACUGCAACACAACACUCCUCCACUGGGGAGGAACUAUUAACCAACCAAUAUAGGUACUGAUAAACAAUUAAUUCAAAGAUCCAUUUAAGAAAAUCAAAGAAAAUUACCAGUCAAGCUCGAUAAUUUUAAUCUCCUUCUGUCUCUCCCUUCCUCCAUUGCUAUUUUUUCUUUGCAAUAGAAUAUUAAUGCCUCUGUACUCAACAAAGCCAAAACCCACGGACCACCACCGCAACGCAUCUCCCCUUGCAAUUCUCGUCUCCCUCUCAAAAAAAAACAAAAAAACAAAAACCCAACCGCCCAGCGCAAUCCGCCAUGGCAAGCCCAGCACCAACAUAGCCAUUGAACCAGUUACCAACAGAACCACCAAACCAAGGCAUAGCCGUUAACGACGAAACGAUCCAGCUGCCAGGAGCGGGAAAAAAAAACACGAAAAGCGCCAGCUACGAUAAACUCAAGCGAUCACAACAAUCAACGCAACCGUCCAGGCCCACGCCGCUAGUAACUCCACCGGCGGUGGAAGGCGCGCGAAAACAAAAGGGAAAGCAACGGAAGGCAGAAAGUCUUCUUAUUUUUCACUUUUUUGGUUGUAUUUCCCUUUUUUUUUUUUCAUAUGAAACAUCUGCUUGCAGCCGGAGAUAGACCUCGCAACUGAUCAGUGUUGCCUCCAAAACCCACUACAUCGGCAAUGAAGCAUUCAUUGAAAGGAUUGGGAAAAAUAAAUAAAAAUGACGCCAGUUUUUAGUUUUUUAGUUGAUACCACAGACUUUCCUGUGUUUGGACAUGUUAUUCUUCCACGAUACAAUAGUGUGAAAGGAAGAAGUCGUGGUGGGUUGCCUUUGUACGAGUCCGUUUGCUUCUGCGUUUGAAGCAACCAUAAUAAAUAAUACGUUUAGUAACGUUAAAAACACAAUAAAAUUUUGGUAGGGUCCAUGAAAAUUCACGUUGUACACGUGAAUUUUGAGAAGCAGCUCCUGGCUGCUUCUCAAAAUUAAUUUACGUGCACAGUGUAAUUCACUUGCACUGUGCACGCCAACGGUGCAAUUUUUUGUGUGUUUUGUUUUUUGUAUUUAAAAAAAAUUAGUUUAGAGUGAAUUAAAUUCACUUGCACUGUAAUAUUAAAUCAAUUUUAUUCUUGAUAAUAUUUUAUCUAAUUUUAUAUAAAAUAAUAUUUAUUUUAUGAAGUAACAGUAAUAGUUAAAUCCAUAAUAUUUAAAUUAAAAACCAUCAGUAUUAAUAUAUAUUUUUAAAAUUAUUUUAUAACCUCAAUUUCAAAAGCACUCUUAACCAAACAUAUUAAACUACUUUUUAUUCAACCUCAAUUUCAACCACAGUUUUAACCAAACACCUAUUUUUUCAAACCAACCUCAACUAAAAGUAUUUUUUAUUUAUAAAACAACUUUUUUAAAACCACAACCGCAACAGCUACCGCAAUACCAAACACACUCGUAGAGUGACGAAUAUUGAAAAGGGAAAUUUGAAGAAAGAAAAAUGCUAAAAAAAGAUAAAUUUAAUAACCAUGUAUUAAAAAUAUAAAUAAAUAAAUUAAUUAAAAGGUAAAAUUACAUUUUAAAAAAAAAACUCAAACUCGUGGAAAAAACAUUAUGGACUACCUCACAUUCAAUUGCAUUGUUCACCGUAACAAUGUUAAAAAAAAUUUGUUUCCUUUAGAAACUUUUUGUUUAAAUCACCAAUAUAUUUUUGUAGAUUAGUCUUCAAAAAUUGCAUUAUAUGGUAUUUCAAGCUCAUAAUUUAUUUUAGUUGUUUUCUAUAGGGUUUUUUUAGGUAUUAAAGAGAAACAUAUCAAUUAGAUUGGUGUUUAAUUUUAUAGAAAAAAAAACAAUUUGGUUAUGCUAAAUGAAAAAAUUAUAAAUUUAGGGAUCCAAUUUGAUAUUAUGGAAAAUAUUAAUGAUUUUUCUUUUUAUCUCAAUGUUAAAAAUGUAUCUUUUCUUUUAUUCAUUUGAUGUUUCAUAAAAAAAAACAUGUGAACAUGUGGUCCCUUAGUUUUUUAUUUUAUUCAUUUGACCCUUAAUGUUUUGAGUUUAAAUUUUGAUUCAAAGCUAAUAUGAUUAAAAAAAAAAAAACAACGGUAGUGGAUAAAUAAAAAUAAAAUAAUAAUUAACUAAAAAGAUAAGUCAUCAAUAUCAUAUUCAGGAGAGGAAGAAAAAAAUUUCGUUGGAAACUCAAUGUUACUUUACCAUAAAAUUUUCCCAUCAUUAUAAAGAGCUAACUGAGACAUUUCUAGAACUAUGAAAGAUUGCAAGACAAUAUCGAAUGAGGCUGCAAACACAGCCAAAGCAAUGAUAUAGAAAUCAAAAUAAAAACAAUGGUGUGAUCAUCCGUGCUCAUAUUUAAUUAAUUAAUAUAAUAUAAUUUAUUUAAAAAACUAAAUUUAACAAAUAAUAACAAAUAAAAAGACCAAUAGAAUUCAUGUAAUUUUUAAAAUUAGUAAAAAAUUCUAUAAAAAAAUAAUAAAAUUAAAAAAGGAUAAAAUUAAAAAAAACAAAAAACAAGCUUGAAAAGAAAAGGGGGGGAUAGGCAAACCCGGUCGAAUUUUUUAAAUUCAAAUUAGUCUUUCAAACUCAUAACCCGUGAAAUCCUAAACUCGGAUUCAAUCAAUAGCUCAAUUCCCAACUAAUUUAAUGUUGAUGAUGAAAUUAAAAAAUAUAUUUUAAAAAAAUUUCAAAGUAAAAAUAAAAUAAAAAAGGGUCAAAUUAAGAGGAUAAAAAACCGGAAGAGAGUGAAAUCAUAAAAUGAAUUCAAUUUUUCGAUAGUUUUGUAACCCACCAUGGAAUUUUGGAAAUCAAAGUGGCAAAUGGAUUGGUUAAAAACAGAAAACACAAACCAAAAUAUUCAUUUAAAACCAACAGAAUGGAAAUUCUGCUGUUGAUCUCGAGCAAGCCAGCUAUGUGAUCACCACGGCACCUGAAUCACCUCAUCUAUCUGUGAACCUUAACCAAGAAAACAAAAAGGAAAGAAGAAAGAACUUUCCUGAAUCACCUCAUUAAUCUGUGAACCACAAAUAACUUGAAUUGUUAAAAAAAAAUUAUAAUAAUUAUAGUCAAAAUCAAGCCUUUGAUUAUCAAAUUACACAAAUUUUACAAGAUAUAAAUUUAAAACAAUAAAAAUAUUAAGGUACAGAUUACUAUAAUAUAUAAUUUUAUAUUUUUUUUAAACUCAUAAAAUUGGUCUGAUUUUACCAAGUUUGAACGAGUUUAACCAAUUUUAUUAAUUUUUAAAUUUUAAUUUAAUUUAACAUAUUAGAUAUAUAUCACACAUAAAAUCAUAAAAUUUUAAGAAACAAUUUUUUUUUUUAGACAAGUUCACAGCCCCGAUGAUGGUCAAUGAAAGAAUAAAAAAAAAAAAGCAUUUUGAUUUUUUAGCGUUCCGACAAAAAAUCUAGCUGGGCACGACGUCCUUGACCAACGCGUGGGACAUGCCUUUGGCUGCAUCUGUUAUUUGGGUGUGGUUUCCUUUCAAGAGAGGAUGCAAAGAGUUAUGUUUGGGUGUGAUUUGUUUAUAUGCAACUCAACGAAAAAAAGCCAUUUUAAGAAAUAAACAAAAUUCUCGAAAGAAGCAGUGACGAAAGAAAGAAAAUGGUAACCAAGUGCAUCCUUGUAGGGGGUUGGCGCAGCAGUAAUAGGUUCUCUUUUUGAAGAAAAUUACUGCUGUUAGACUACUGUUAAUUUCCAACUCAAGAAAUUAAGAAAUAUUAAUGUCCAAUUAUAAUGUAAGAAAACUUGUAUUCCUUCAAGACUAAUAAAAAGACAAUAAAAAUCCCAGUAUUAUUUUCAAAAAGAAGAAACAAAAUUGAAAUACUGAGACAUAUAAGAGAGUUUAAUUUAUGUUAGGUAACGUUUAAUUUCUCAAAAGUCAAAGCAAUUUCAUCGAGAAUAUUAUCUCACGAUCUGGAAAAAUAAAUAAGAAAAAAAUAUCAUCUAAAAAUGCUUCAUGAGGGCCAUAAUGUUUCAUUUUUUAUAAAAAGAAUAGAGAUAGAAGAUCAAAUAUAUAUAUAUAUAUAUAUAUAUAUAUAUAUUAUUUUUAUAUGUUUUUUGAAAUUAUUUUUAGUUCAAUACCUCUUAUUUUUUUUUAUAAUUUUUUUAAAAUGAUAAUUAUCUUUGUAUAAAUAUAUAUUCUGAAAUCAAUUAUUUUUUAAGUGUUCUUUUUUAAUAUAAAUAACUAAAUCAGUUUAUACACUAAUUUUAUAAAUUAUAAAAUUAAUAAUUAUAUAAAUUUUUAAUAAUAUCGAGAAGACUUAAACUUAUAUCUAUAAAAAAACAAAUCUAAAAUCUUAGUAUUUAGAUUUUAAGAUUUGUCUUUUUCAUCGUGUAGUAACCCCCGGUCCCCUGUUAGCAGACUCCGAGACCGCGCUCGCAUAUUUUCUCCAAUGUGAUUCUACCUCUUUUACUAAAAAUAUGUCCACAAAAAACACGCGCUCAAUCACACGCGCACAAAAACACCAAGACAUGCCGAGACAUGGCACAAAAACACCAAGACAUGCCACAAAAACACCAAGACAUCACCAGUUCUAAUUAAAAGCACGCGAAAACACCAAGGCGCCACCUCUUCUAUAAAUAGCGCAUCCUACUUACAUACUUACAUAUUUACAAAAUUAAGCAUCCACUCUUGCUCUGCUAACUUGUCUCCUCCUGUGUUUAAUUCCUCCUCAAAUUUGGUAAUAUUAUCGAUGCCAUCUCUUUCUAAUCUCACUUGAGACAUUACAGCUUUUAUUUUCUUCUAAAUAAUCAUUCCUUUUUGUAGUUAAUUUUAAGCCAUGGAUGGUUACAUCCUACACUCCCCUGCACAAGACUUGGCCACAGCAGGCUACUCCUCAGCUGCUAAAGGAGGGCUUGCUGGUGUCCUCGUCAUGCUCCUUCUUGCUAUCGUAUUUUAUGUAUUCUUCAAGUUCCGAAACUGCUCCAUGAAAUUUGAGAUGGAUGUUGAAAUGCCAUAAAGGAGCGUCCAUGCUGCUGCUGGGACAUAAGACAAUGAGAUUCUUCUAAUUUUCCAAUAUUAAUGUUUUCGUAUUAAAUACUCGGGCGUCUCGACCCUUUGUUUUUGGUUUCAUCAUCUGUAUUGCUGCAGAUAAAUAUUUGGUCUCUUUUCUCAUAAUAAAACAAUUCCAUAUAAUUUGUACCUUUUAUGGUGUGGAUUUUGUGGGAUUGUUUGUUUUUUUAUUUUAAAAAUAUUUUUAAGCCACGUCUAAGCUUCUUAUUUGCUGGGGCUUGCUUUAGGAGCUUUCUUUUUAUAGUCUCUUUUUAACGAAAAGAAGGUCGUCCUUCGGCUGCUUUCGCUUCUUCUUCUUCUUUUCGCUCAACUUCCGCCGCUGGUGGGUUACUACCGGCGUGGUCCUGGACGUUGCGUUGGCUGUCGUUAUAGCUUGAGUCUGUCGGAGUUUUCGCUUUUCGAGUUCUUUUUUUUAGGCUCCUGGCAGCUGGAUCGUUUCGUUGUGACGGCUAUGCCGUGGUUUGAUGGUUUUAUUGGUAACUGGUUCAUUGGUUGUGUUUUUUUUUUUCUCUCUCUCGAGAGAGGUGAGAAUUGCUAGGAGAGAUGGGUUGCGGUGGUGGUCCGUGGGUUUCAGUGCGUUAAGUGUGGGAUCGGUGCCAACUCCAUCUCCUCUGCGUGUUGAUGAGGGCGGUUUUUCUCGUCGCUAUCCAACGAGGGAUGCCCAGUAUUUUGGCUUCCGUUGCUGCGUUGACUUCCGUGAUUGCUUGAGUCUGUCGGAGUUGUCGCUUUUCUGUUUUUUUUUUCCCGCUCCUGGCAGCUGGAUCGUUUCGUUGUUAUCGGCUAUGCCGUGGUUUGGUGGUUAUGUUGGUAACUGGUUCAAUGGCUAUGUUGGUGUUGGGCUUGCCAUGGCGGAAUAGCGCUGGGCAGUUGGGUGUUUUUUUUAUAAGUAGACGAGAAUUGCCAGGGGAGAUGGGUUGCGGUGGCGGUCCGUGGGUUUUGGCUUUGUGGAGUACAGAGGCAUUAAUCUUCUACUACAAAGAAAAAAAAUAGCAACCGCGACCUGGAGGAAGGGAGAGACAGAAGGAGAAUAAAAUUAUCGACCUUGACUGGUAAUUUUCUUUGAUUUUCUUAAUGGAUCUUUGAAUUAAUUGUUUAUUAUUACGUAUAUUGGUUGGUUGAUAGUUCCUCCCCGGUGGAGGAGUGUUGCAGUGAUGGGGCAUGCUAAUAUUAUGUUUUAUCAACCGAUUGGUUGAAUGAAAUGAAUUGGCAGUCUAUGGAAGCCAUGCUUAUUUUAAUAACUGAUUGGUUGGUAGCUCCUCCCUUUAUUUCUUUUUUAUUUUUUCAAAGUAAACAAACCAAUGACAUGCAAUGGCAGAAAUUCAUUCUAGCGAGAAUGGCCUUGAUACUUCUUUCAAGGUAUCAAUAUCUCCACAGGUUAGGCUGUUCAUCACGGUGCUGUGUUUUUUUCUGUUCCCCGGAGUUUGGUCAUGUUCUUAUGGUAUGCUCCUUGAGUUGUGCUGUUUUGGAUUCUUAACUCGAUCAGUUUUGUUUCCAGUGGGAAAAGGAGGUGAACAGGGAGCUGUGAGCUCUAUCAAGAUAUCUAUAUAUGGUUUGCUGUGUAUGCUCAAUCUCCCUAAAUUAUUAUUUUAUCUGCUACAGUUUGCCAUGGAAAUCGACUCCAACAUGGC
Molecule: long non-coding RNA, 13890 nt
Filed under: Populus tremula
Lineage: Eukaryota; Viridiplantae; Streptophyta; Magnoliopsida; Malpighiales; Salicaceae
Description: long non-coding RNA (PTRE_LNC000701)
Source: RNAcentral